This 96-nucleotide ribosomal RNA is filed under the name Calligrapha knabi. Its description in RNAcentral is "partial 5.8S ribosomal RNA". It matches the Rfam family "5.8S ribosomal RNA", at positions 58 to 154 of the family's 154-position model. From Rfam's summary of the family: 5.8S ribosomal RNA (5.8S rRNA) is a component of the large subunit of the eukaryotic ribosome. It is transcribed by RNA polymerase I as part of the 45S precursor that also contains 18S and 28S rRNA. The record is from RNAcentral. Lineage: Eukaryota; Metazoa; Arthropoda; Insecta; Coleoptera; Chrysomelidae.
AACUUGUGAACUGCAGGACACAUGAACAUCGACAUUUCGAACGCACAUUGCGGUCCUCGGAUACUGUUCCUGGACCACUCCUGGCUGAGGGUCGUA